GAUGAACGCUGGCGGCGUGCCUAACACAUGCAAGUCGAGCGAACAGACGAGGAGUUUGCUCCUCUGACGUUAGCGGCGGACGGGUGAGUAACAUGUGGAUAACCUACCUAUAAGACUGGGAUAACUUCGGGAAACCGGAGCUAAUACCGGAUAAUAUAUUGAACCGCAUGGUUCAAUAGUGAAAGACGGUUUUGCUGUCACUUAUAGAUGGAUCCGCGCCGCAUUAGCUAGUUGGUAAGGUAACGGCUUACCAAGGCGACGAUGCGUAGCCGACCUGAAAGGGUGGUCGGCCACCCUGGAACUGAGACACGGUCCAGACUCCUACGGGGGGCAGCAGUAGGGAAUCUUCCGCAAUGGGCGAAAGCCUGACGGAGCAACGCCGCGUGAGUGAUGAAGGUCUUCGGAUCGUAAAACUCUGUUAUUAGGGAGAAACAAAUGUGUAAGUAACUGUGCCCGUCUUGACGGUACCUGAUCAAAAAGCCCCGGCUAACUACGUG
Molecule: ribosomal RNA, 497 nt
Filed under: uncultured bacterium
Lineage: Bacteria
Description: partial 16S ribosomal RNA
Rfam family: Bacterial small subunit ribosomal RNA
Source: RNAcentral